This 156-nucleotide ribosomal RNA is filed under the name Ophiocaryon heterophyllum. RNAcentral describes it as "5.8S ribosomal RNA". It matches the Rfam family "5.8S ribosomal RNA". From Rfam's summary of the family: 5.8S ribosomal RNA (5.8S rRNA) is a component of the large subunit of the eukaryotic ribosome. It is transcribed by RNA polymerase I as part of the 45S precursor that also contains 18S and 28S rRNA. RNAcentral also lists the same sequence under 2 other names. The record is from RNAcentral. Lineage: Eukaryota; Viridiplantae; Streptophyta; Magnoliopsida; Proteales; Sabiaceae.
GACUCUCGGCAACGGAUAUCUCGGCUCUCGCAUCGAUGAAGAACGUAGCGAAAUGCGAUACUUGGUGUGAAUUGCAGAAUCCCGUGAACCAUUUAGUCUUUGAACGCAAGUUGCGCCCUAGGCCCUACGGUCGAGGGCACGCCUGCCUGGGCGUCA